GGGAAUCUAGCAUAAUUGGUUAAUGUCCUAAAUUGUCAGUUUAGAUGAUGCCCGUUCGAAUCGGGUGAUUCUCG
Molecule: transfer RNA, 74 nt
Organism: Pseudozyma hubeiensis SY62
Lineage: Eukaryota; Fungi; Basidiomycota; Ustilaginomycetes; Ustilaginales; Ustilaginaceae
Rfam family: tRNA
About the family: Transfer RNA (tRNA) molecules are approximately 80 nucleotides in length. Their secondary structure includes four short double-helical elements and three loops (D, anti-codon, and T loops).
Source: Rfam